UACGGGGGGAGCAAGCGUUGUUCGGAUUUACUGGGCGUAAAGGGCGCGUAGGCGGUCAGCACAAGUCAGUUGUGAAAUCUCCGAGCUUAACUCGGAAAGGUCAACUGAUACUGUGCGACUAGAGUGCGGAAGGGGCAACUGGAAUUCUUGGUGUAGCGGUGAAAUGCGUAGAUAUCAAGAGGAACACCUGCGGCGAAGGCGGGUUGCUGGGCCGACACUGACGCUGAGACGCGAAAGCGUGGGGAGCAAACAGG
RNAcentral lists this ribosomal RNA (254 nucleotides) under uncultured bacterium. Its description in RNAcentral is "partial 16S ribosomal RNA". It matches the Rfam family "Bacterial small subunit ribosomal RNA", at positions 524 to 776 of the family's 1533-position model. The record is from RNAcentral.